UACAGAGGUGGCAAGCGUUGUUCGGAAUUACUGGGCGUAAAGGGCGCGUAGGCGGCUUGGUCAGUCCCGUGUGGAAUCCCUCGGCUCAACUGAGGAACUGCACGGGAAACUGCCUGGCUUGAGUUCGGGAGAGGGAAGCGGAAUUCCGGGUGUAGCGGUGAAAUGCGUAGAUAUCAGGAAGAACACCCGUGGCGAAGGCGGCUCUCUGGGACGGUACUGACGCUGAGACGCGAAAGCGUGGGGAGCGAACAGG
Molecule: ribosomal RNA, 253 nt
Filed under: uncultured bacterium
Lineage: Bacteria
Description: partial 16S ribosomal RNA
Rfam family: Bacterial small subunit ribosomal RNA
Source: RNAcentral